GAUCCCAUUUUCCCCACUAGGAGCUAGGUGUAGGCCAUUUCUGCGUCUUUACAUACGUAGGUUUUCACUCAUUUCUCAAUAUCGGGCUGAUAUUUAUUCCCAUUUAGGUUUUCACAAAAAUGAGUAUGUUGACUUAGUGUGCAACACAGCAGACGGGCUCAUUUAAAACACCACCGUGGUUUUGUAGGUCUUGAUGUCUGCUAUUUUCAUUUUAUUAUUCACUAAUUUCUGGUUCCGAAUCCAUUUAAGAUUUUAUACCUGUGUAACUCAGAGUACUUGCAUUCUCUUUUCUUACGGGCUGAAAUUUUCUCUGGUGGUCGCUGGCAUUUUAUUCUAAGCAUCAUUAACUGACCACAAAGCCAAAACGGACCCAAACAUUCUGGAACAACCUGUCGUGCCUAAUUUACCAGUGAGGAGUAACUUAACCCCAGAGAGAACUGGAUUCAGGACCGUUUUUUUUCCUUAAGCCAUUCCUGUGGUGUAUUAACCGAGUGCACACAACUUGGAUGCACCCUGAUGCAGCAUUGGGUGUCCGGUUAGGGUGAACUGCAGAGCCGUUGCCCAGUGGAGUCUGUGGGCAGCCAUUAAACCUGUGUUUGCAAAGCUUUGGGUUCAUGCCGGGAAGUCAAUUACAAAAGAACAUUAAGUGAAGACAGCAGGACCGCAGAAUGGUGUUUCCAAUAUGCCUUCGACUAUGUAGAAAAUGUGCGUGUAGAAAUGAAAGGAAAUACAAUGAAAGAUGAACAAUAAUGAUUGUUUUUGGGGAAGGUGAGGAUAGGUGAAUGCUAGCUGCUGCUUCAUUUAUGGCAUCCAAACUGCCCACAGUGGGACAUUACAUUUACUUUCAAAAUUUGUUAAAGGUGUUAGAAACAUCCAUCUCUGUGAGACUGAAAAGGGCGUGGUCUUGCUGUUGGUGUAGGUGGCCUCCCAAGGCGGCAGCGCCGAGCUGGCCUGACCCCAGGGUCCUGGUUCUAUCCCUCUGUGAUUGUCACAGCUCCCUCCCUUGUUUUGGGGGUAGGUAAUAACCCCUCCCCAUGGACUGAACAUAUUUUUAAUCACUUUUGACAUUUCUUUUAUUUUUGAAUAAUUUUAGGUUUGCAGAAAAAUUUUAGAUAUACAGACAUCUGAAUAAUUCUGGAUUUAUGCAAAAGUAGUACAGAGAGUUCCUCUAGAUCCUUUACCCAGCUUCUCCUAAUAUUAACGAGUUCUAUAACCAUGGUACCUAGUAAAGAAACUACAGAUUUUGUUAGAAUUUCCCCAGUUUUUCCCAUUAAUGUCCUUUUAUUGUUCAAGGAUCCAAGGAAGAAUUCCACAGUGCAUUUAGAGGGUGGUUCUUCUUAAAGGUACAACUCAGAACAGCAUUCUAUCAGGUGUGUAUGUAGAUUAUUCUAUCUGUUGUAGAUUAUCCUAUCUGUUUUAUGUACAUAAAAACCAGAUUUUUUUUUCCUCUGGGGUGGAGUGACACAGUUAAGCAGUCAGCCUCUAACUUCUCAAAAUGAGAAUUUAUUUUUUCUCCAAAACCCAGGGGUCUAGUCCUAUUCUAUCCUCUUCCCACCCUGAGCAUUGUGUUGAACCGCAGGGGAAAAAUAGCAGAACAAAAGAGAGCAUUUGGAAAAUCCCAUAUUAGUUUUGAUGGCAUUUCUUAUAAAUAAAUCAGGUUCUAUUAAAAAAAAA
This is a non-coding RNA of Kogia breviceps (pygmy sperm whale), 1674 nucleotides long. The record is from RefSeq and is a predicted model, not a curated record. NCBI's taxonomy places the organism in Eukaryota, Metazoa, Chordata, Mammalia, Artiodactyla, Physeteridae.